GACGAACGCUGGCGGCGUGCUUAACACAUGCAAGUCGAACGGAAAGGCCCUGCUUUUGUGGGGUGCUCGAGUGGCGAACGGGUGAGUAACACGUGAGUAACCUGCCCUUGACUUUGGGAUAACUUCAGGAAACUGGGGCUAAUACCGGAUAGGAGCUCCUGCUGCAUGGUGGGGGUUGGAAAGUUUCGGCGGUUGGGGAUGGACUCGCGGCUUAUCAGCUUGUUGGUGGGGUAGUGGCUUACCAAGGCUUUGACGGGUAGCCGGCCUGAGAGGGUGACCGGCCACAUUGGGACUGAGAUACGGCCCAGACUCCUACGGGAGGCAGCAGUGGGGAAUAUUGCACAAUGGGCGGAAGCCUGAGGCAGCAACGCCGCGUGCGGGAUGACGGCCUUCGGGUUGUAAACCGCUUUCGCCUGUGACGAAGCGUGAGUGACGGUAACGGGUAAAGAAGCACCGGCUAACUACGUG
This 468-nucleotide ribosomal RNA is filed under the name uncultured bacterium. Its description in RNAcentral is "partial 16S ribosomal RNA". It matches the Rfam family "Bacterial small subunit ribosomal RNA", at positions 28 to 507 of the family's 1533-position model. The record is from RNAcentral.